This 195-nucleotide unclassified non-coding RNA is filed under the name uncultured fungus. Its description in RNAcentral is "partial contains 18S rRNA, ITS1, 5.8S rRNA, ITS2 and 28S rRNA". The record is from RNAcentral. Lineage: Eukaryota; Fungi.
AAGGAUCAUUACCGAGCUCUUGCCCUUCGGGGUAGAUCUCCCACCCCUGUCUACCUACCUUUGUUGCUUUGGCGGGCCGCCUCGGCUGCGGGCCCCGGCGCGCACGCGCCCGCCAGGGGACCUCCACUCUGCUCCCCGUGUCGUCUGAGCACUAUCGAAUAGUCAAAACUUUCAACAACGGAUCUCUUGGCUCUG